GAUUUGAUACCCUGGUAGUCCACGCCGUAAACGAUGUCUACUUGGAGGUUGUGGCCUUGAGCCGUGGCUUUCGGAGCUAACGCGUUAAGUAGACCGCCUGGGGAGUACGGUCGCAAGAUUAAAACUCAAAUGAAUUGACGGGGGCCCGCACAAGCGGUGGAGCAUGUGGUUUAAUUCGAUGCAACGCGAAGAACCUUACCUACUCUUGACAUCCAGAGAAGCCAGCGGAGACGCAGGUGUGCCUUCGGGAGCUCUGAGACAGGUGCUGCAUGGCUGUCGUCAGCUCGUGUCGUGAGAUGUUGGGUUAAGU
This 310-nucleotide ribosomal RNA is filed under the name Vibrio sp. enrichment culture clone 3. Its description in RNAcentral is "bacterial SSU rRNA". It matches the Rfam family "Bacterial small subunit ribosomal RNA", at positions 776 to 1085 of the family's 1533-position model. Lineage: Bacteria; Pseudomonadati; Pseudomonadota; Gammaproteobacteria; Vibrionales; Vibrionaceae. The record is from RNAcentral.